GGCAACCCUUAUCCACAAGUCUCUCUGCUCCUCUUUCAAACAUUGUCAAAGGCAAUAUAAUAGUUAAUAUUAUCAACUUCACUGGAUAAAAGAAGGGAACCCUUUACACAUGCUGACUCUGAAAAUCAAGCAUGACUUCCUGGAAAUACCAAAAUAGCAAACAUAUCCUGGAUACUAUCCUGGAAACUAUUGUUUUGCUGAAGUAUAAAUGGUUCUUGGUGAUAAUUCUUUUUUCUUGUGGUUCACCUAACCUACUUUUGGGAAGAUGGUUAAGAUACUGGCAUCCAGAGGCCAUUUUCACUACAAAUUAAGAAUACCAAUAAUGGUAGUGGCUUAGUAUUUAAAAUAGCUCCCAAGUUAUUGGGUGGCCAUUGUUGAUAACAAAUGGCUUGGCUAAAACAAGCAUAUCCAUGUUCAUGGCACAGAGACAGGAGUGCUGAUCCUCGCAUCCACAGAAUGUGUUGUCAUUAUCCCUUGACACAUGUUCUCAGAGAAACUAGUCUGCCUGAUCCCUGCCGCCCAGAUGCUCUCGUCUUUGUCUACGAAGUAUGAAGUGGCAUUUGUCCUGGAGUUCAGAAUUACCAAGAUGUCCACAAUACCUACUACAUCUAACGUUGUCAACGACGUGGAGCAAUGGAACUGUUCUUUCAUCUCUUGUGGAAUUCAAAAUACUAUAGCCACAUUGGGAGACAGCUUAACAGUACAGAUUGAAACAUACUCUACCAUUCGACCCAGAAAUUAUGUCUCUUUUUAUUUAACUAAAUGAAUUAAAAAUUU
Long non-coding RNA from Mus musculus (house mouse), 777 nucleotides. RefSeq annotates it as predicted gene, 35467. The transcript has 4 exons. Lineage: Eukaryota; Metazoa; Chordata; Mammalia; Rodentia; Muridae. The record is from RefSeq and is a predicted model, not a curated record.